AUGAUGAAUCGUCAGUUUGCGAAUAUGAUAGUACACAAUUACCCCAAGGGAGUUUAUUCCCUGCGCCGGAUCAACCUCAUGGAGUAUCUCUUCUACCCUUCAACAGAAGCUGCCGAAAAGGCAGAAGUGAAUAAGAAGGGAUGGUUAUCCACCAUGUUGAAAGGGAGCCCCAAGCAGAGUCUGCCCAAGACGAACAUCAACUUCUCAUCACUGCCUAACAUGGCCGACUUAACUACCAGGCAUUUCUUCUCCCUGCUGAGAGGGCAGGGGGAGGGCUCUGUCAUGUUUGUCAGCCCUAACGUCCACACGAUGAUGUACGACACUAGCACGGACUUCGUCUUUGGCAUGCCACAAGCCAACUUCUGUAAGCAGAGUGACUCAAUCGCCCUGUCCAUCACUCGGCGGAGCUAUGGCCAGGACAACCACAAGCUCUAUGUCAUAGGAAAAGGAGAGGACAAUGCCUUGUUCGAGGUCUUGAACUAUACCAGGACAACUGAUCUGAACAACUCGUCUUGGUACUGGCGACCUCUACCCUGCCCGCCACUGUUUCGGCCGUGCCUGCCUGGCAGCAACAGCAAAGUUUGUCCUCCCUCUGCAGCCGCUGUGUUGGAUGCCGCCACAAUAUGUGUCUCAUCUGUGGAUGCUGGAGCCUGCGCCUUCUUUGACACGGCAACGCGCGAGUGGAGGCAGGCUGGCAGCUGGGUGCUGCCCAUCCACGGUGCGGCGGAGCGACCGGUGGUGCGGCACUCCUGGAACUAUCUCAGCGUCCUGCCCGAUGAGUGGUUGCCGCGGCAGAGGCACCUGCUAAACAUGGGCUCAGGCAAGUUCUGCAUCGCCACCAGCUUUCGAAAUCUCUUGAGGCACACCUCGUGCAGACCACUUCAUGGUGCAGUCAAUGAGCUUACUGUCUUGACCGGCGUGGAGGUGGUGCGCAAUGUCAAUGGUUUCCAGAUCAUCAAGCACAAGUCUGAAUGUUACAGCUUGGAGGACAAUAGAAUCCACUGUGUGCUCUGA
Molecule: ribosomal RNA, 1014 nt
Filed under: Triticum aestivum (bread wheat)
Lineage: Eukaryota; Viridiplantae; Streptophyta; Magnoliopsida; Poales; Poaceae
Description: partial small subunit ribosomal RNA
Source: RNAcentral